UAAUUGUCGUAUACAGAGUCAUUCUACCCUCGCGAAAUUCCACGGUCUGAAAGUGGCAGCGCGUGGUCGUCGUUGUUCGUUCGUUCGUUCAUUCGUUCUUUCGUUCUUUCGUACGUAAGAAAAUUCAAGUAUUACGGGGAAAAAUCGAGGAAGUUUCGUCGAUAUAUCGUUAGAUUUGUUUGACAGUGUCGACGGGGGUCGUGUUUAAAACGAGUGAUUAUAAUAUCUCGUAUAUAUCCUCCGUGUGCAUUAUUAUUACCAACAAAACUAUUCUCCCCUCGCAUUCACUCACAUUCACUUACUCAUUUUAUCUCUUUUUCUCUCGCUCUCUCACUCUCUUUCUCUCUCCCUCCCUCUCUCUUUCUCUUUCUAUUUGGAGUGAGGGGAAUGAAUAUAUGUAUUUGAUCGUAUGUAAAACGCGCGUGUGUUUUUAUAUGCUCGACGAAAAUCUUAGUUGGAUUAGUAACCAAUCGAAGCUCGAAGUCGUCUCGCCUUAUCGUGUUUUUGACUUUCUCUCUACUCUUGCUUUGGCUCUGUGGCAUAUUCGUCGUCCGGAUCGAAGUCGUCCAAGUUGGCACGAGGUUGGUCUAUUGGACGUUGUUGGGUGCGGCGGCGGCGGUGACAGUGACUGUGCCACCGAUACUGACCACUACGAUAUCAUAUAGCAUUGACAACGACGACAACGAUAACAACAACGACACGACACGACACGACACGACACGACACGACAUUUGACGAUAUUUGACGAUAGUUGACAACAUUUGACGAUAACGACAUUACGAUUAAUACGACGACAAAAACAAUAACAACAACACACACAUAAACAAAGUGACUAGAAGGAAGCCGGAGAAGUUCAACUACUGUGCUUCUCUCUUUCAUUUGUAUUCUAACUGAUACGAGUAAGAGAGAGAGGAACGAGGAGAAGGGGUGGGAGGAUAAACGAAGAGUGAGUGUUGUUGCGUGAAAGAGAAAGAGUAAGAGAGAGAAGGAUAGCAAGCGAACGGGUACGAGAAAGAGAGAGACAGGAACGGGUCAUGAAUAGAUAAAAGAAGCAAAGAAAGGUGUUUCCUGGAAAAAAAAGAAAACUUACAUUAGUAUAUUUAUACGUGUGUAUAUGUGCGGGUUGUAUAAAUGUUUAGGUUGACGCGUUAAUGUUUCGUAAUUGUUUGAGUCUUCCUCCUUUUUGGUUGAAAAAUCAUUCACAAAUAUCGGUCUUCGUCGUAAGAAGAACGUGUGCCGUGCAACCUGUUGUUUUCUCAGCGCGCUCGUGUUUUUGUGCAUCGCUACUCUUCUUCAGCUACUCGGAAUCUUGUUUCUACGGAUGCAAGAACGAGUACCCUCGUGAUACCGAGGUCGAGUUAACGGCCGACUUAACCUUGCUAUCGUUGAUCAAAAAACAAGAAAGAACAACGUACAUCAUCGUUACGAGACGCCUUCAGGAUGAACGG
This 1448-nucleotide long non-coding RNA is filed under the name Polistes fuscatus (common paper wasp). RNAcentral describes it as "uncharacterized LOC122526342". The record is from RNAcentral. Lineage: Eukaryota; Metazoa; Arthropoda; Insecta; Hymenoptera; Vespidae.